Molecule: long non-coding RNA, 519 nt
Organism: Gallus gallus (chicken)
Lineage: Eukaryota; Metazoa; Chordata; Aves; Galliformes; Phasianidae
Exons: 2
Source: RefSeq, a predicted model, not a curated record
CAGACGGCAGCAGAGGGGCAGUCUGACAACAUGGCAUCUGACAUGGAAGUGCAUAUGAAGCAAAGGAGGCAUGAAGUCUGAAGCAACUUAUGUAUAUGCGGCCAAAGGCAAUUCCUCCUCACUCACCGUGGCCCGGGCAAGCCAGAAGGUUCUAGCCCAACCAUCGGCCCACCCCAACCAUGCCCACUGACCACGUCCCUCUGCGCCACAGCCACACGCUGCAGGGAUGGGACUCCCCCCCCUCCCCAGCAGGCUGUGCCACCGCAUGGGAUGGACAGCGGGCACAGCUGGGCGCCCACCUCGGGACACGUGUACAGAAGCAUCGAUGGGACGCAGCCCUCCAGGAGGGGAAAGACGAAGCAGAAAGGCUGAUGGGUCAGCGCGUGCUUUGCCUAUAAGGGGAGCAAAAAUAACAACAGCGCGUUCCGAGCUGCGGUGAAUCGCUCAGGAAAAAAUCUGCAGACGUUCUCCGAAUUGUUUGUUAAAGAAAGAAAUUAAAAAAAAAAAAAAAAAAAAAAA